UACAGAGGGGGCAAGCGUUGUUCGGAAUUACUGGGCGUAAAGGGCGCGUAGGCGGCCUUCUAAGUCGAACGUGAAAUCCCCGGGCUCAACCCGGGAACUGCGUCCGAUACUGGAAGGCUUGAAUCCGGGAGAGGGAUGCGGAAUUCCUGGUGUAGCGGUGGAAUGCGCAGAUAUCAGGAGGAACACCGAUGGCGAAGGCAGAUCUCUGGGCCGUAACUGACGCUGAGGAGCGAAAGCGUGGGGAGCGAACAGG
This 253-nucleotide ribosomal RNA is filed under the name uncultured bacterium. RNAcentral's name for it is "partial 16S ribosomal RNA". It matches the Rfam family "Bacterial small subunit ribosomal RNA", at positions 524 to 776 of the family's 1533-position model. The record is from RNAcentral.